RNAcentral lists this ribosomal RNA (2907 nucleotides) under Escherichia coli. Its description in RNAcentral is "23S ribosomal RNA". It matches the Rfam family "Bacterial large subunit ribosomal RNA". The record is from RNAcentral. Lineage: Bacteria; Pseudomonadati; Pseudomonadota; Gammaproteobacteria; Enterobacterales; Enterobacteriaceae.
GGUUAAGCGACUAAGCGUACACGGUGGAUGCCCUGGCAGUCAGAGGCGAUGAAGGACGUGCUAAUCUGCGAUAAGCGUCGGUAAGGUGAUAUGAACCGUUAUAACCGGCGAUUUCCGAAUGGGGAAACCCAGUGUGUUUCGACACACUAUCAUUAACUGAAUCCAUAGGUUAAUGAGGCGAACCGGGGGAACUGAAACAUCUAAGUACCCCGAGGAAAAGAAAUCAACCGAGAUUCCCCCAGUAGCGGCGAGCGAACGGGGAGCAGCCCAGAGCCUGAAUCAGUGUGUGUGUUAGUGGAAGCGUCUGGAAAGGCGCGCGAUACAGGGUGACAGCCCCGUACACAAAAAUGCACAUGCUGUGAGCUCGAUGAGUAGGGCGGGACACGUGGUAUCCUGUCUGAAUAUGGGGGGACCAUCCUCCAAGGCUAAAUACUCCUGACUGACCGAUAGUGAACCAGUACCGUGAGGGAAAGGCGAAAAGAACCCCGGCGAGGGGAGUGAAAAAAGAACCUGAAACCGUGUACGUACAAGCAGUGGGAGCACGCUUAGGCGUGUGACUGCGUACCUUUUGUAUAAUGGGUCAGCGACUUAUAUUCUGUAGCAAGGUUAACCGAAUAGGGGAGCCGAAGGGAAACCGAGUCUUAACUGGGCGUUAAGUUGCAGGGUAUAGACCCGAAACCCGGUGAUCUAGCCAUGGGCAGGUUGAAGGUUGGGUAACACUAACUGGAGGACCGAACCGACUAAUGUUGAAAAAUUAGCGGAUGACUUGUGGCUGGGGGUGAAAGGCCAAUCAAACCGGGAGAUAGCUGGUUCUCCCCGAAAGCUAUUUAGGUAGCGCCUCGUGAAUUCAUCUCCGGGGGUAGAGCACUGUUUCGGCAAGGGGGUCAUCCCGACUUACCAACCCGAUGCAAACUGCGAAUACCGGAGAAUGUUAUCACGGGAGACACACGGCGGGUGCUAACGUCCGUCGUGAAGAGGGAAACAACCCAGACCGCCAGCUAAGGUCCCAAAGUCAUGGUUAAGUGGGAAACGAUGUGGGAAGGCCCAGACAGCCAGGAUGUUGGCUUAGAAGCAGCCAUCAUUUAAAGAAAGCGUAAUAGCUCACUGGUCGAGUCGGCCUGCGCGGAAGAUGUAACGGGGCUAAACCAUGCACCGAAGCUGCGGCAGCGACGCUUAUGCGUUGUUGGGUAGGGGAGCGUUCUGUAAGCCUGCGAAGGUGUGCUGUGAGGCAUGCUGGAGGUAUCAGAAGUGCGAAUGCUGACAUAAGUAACGAUAAAGCGGGUGAAAAGCCCGCUCGCCGGAAGACCAAGGGUUCCUGUCCAACGUUAAUCGGGGCAGGGUGAGUCGACCCCUAAGGCGAGGCCGAAAGGCGUAGUCGAUGGGAAACAGGUUAAUAUUCCUGUACUUGGUGUUACUGCGAAGGGAGGACGGAGAAGGCUAUGUUGGCCGGGCGACGGUUGUCCCGGUUUAAGCGUGUAGGCUGGUUUUCCAGGCAAAUCCGGAAAAUCAAGGCUGAGGCGUGAUGACGAGGCACUACGGUGCUGAAGCAACAAAUGCCCUGCUUCCAGGAAAAGCCUCUAAGCAUCAGGUAACAUCAAAUCGUACCCCAAACCGACACAGGUGGUCAGGUAGAGAAUACCAAGGCGCUUGAGAGAACUCGGGUGAAGGAACUAGGCAAAAUGGUGCCGUAACUUCGGGAGAAGGCACGCUGAUAUGUAGGUGAAGUCCCUCGCGGAUGGAGCUGAAAUCAGUCGAAGAUACCAGCUGGCUGCAACUGUUUAUUAAAAACACAGCACUGUGCAAACACGAAAGUGGACGUAUACGGUGUGACGCCUGCCCGGUGCCGGAAGGUUAAUUGAUGGGGUUAGCCGCAAGGCGAAGCUCUUGAUCGAAGCCCCGGUAAACGGCGGCCGUAACUAUAACGGUCCUAAGGUAGCGAAAUUCCUUGUCGGGUAAGUUCCGACCUGCACGAAUGGCGUAAUGAUGGCCAGGCUGUCUCCACCCGAGACUCAGUGAAAUUGAACUCGCUGUGAAGAUGCAGUGUACCCGCGGCAAGACGGAAAGACCCCGUGAACCUUUACUAUAGCUUGACACUGAACAUUGAGCCUUGAUGUGUAGGAUAGGUGGGAGGCUUAGAAGUGUGGACGCCAGUCUGCAUGGAGCCGACCUUGAAAUACCACCCUUUAAUGUUUGAUGUUCUAACGUUGACCCGUAAUCCGGGUUGCGGACAGUGUCUGGUGGGUAGUUUGACUGGGGCGGUCUCCUCCUAAAGAGUAACGGAGGAGCACGAAGGUUGGCUAAUCCUGGUCGGACAUCAGGAGGUUAGUGCAAUGGCAUAAGCCAGCUUGACUGCGAGCGUGACGGCGCGAGCAGGUGCGAAAGCAGGUCAUAGUGAUCCGGUGGUUCUGAAUGGAAGGGCCAUCGCUCAACGGAUAAAAGGUACUCCGGGGAUAACAGGCUGAUACCGCCCAAGAGUUCAUAUCGACGGCGGUGUUUGGCACCUCGAUGUCGGCUCAUCACAUCCUGGGGCUGAAGUAGGUCCCAAGGGUAUGGCUGUUCGCCAUUUAAAGUGGUACGCGAGCUGGGUUUAGAACGUCGUGAGACAGUUCGGUCCCUAUCUGCCGUGGGCGCUGGAGAACUGAGGGGGGCUGCUCCUAGUACGAGAGGACCGGAGUGGACGCAUCACUGGUGUUCGGGUUGUCAUGCCAAUGGCACUGCCCGGUAGCUAAAUGCGGAAGAGAUAAGUGCUGAAAGCAUCUAAGCACGAAACUUGCCCCGAGAUGAGUUCUCCCUGACUCCUUGAGAGUCCUGAAGGAACGUUGAAGACGACGACGUUGAUAGGCCGGGUGUGUAAGCGCAGCGAUGCGUUGAGCUAACCGGUACUAAUGAACCGUGAGGCUUAACCUU